GACGAACGCUGGCGGCGUGCUUAACACAUGCAAGUCGAGCGGUAAGGCCCUUUCGGGGGUACACGAGCGGCGGACGGGUGAGUAACACGUGGGUGACCUGCCCUCAGCUCUGGGAUAAGCCUGGGAAACCGGGUCUAAUACCGGAUAUGACUCCAUGACGCAUGUUGUGGGGUGGAAAGCCUUGCGCGGCUGAGGAUGGGCCCGCGGCCUAUCAGCUUGUUGGUGGGGUGAUGGCCUACCAAGGCGACGACGGGUAGCCGGCCUGAGAGGGCGACCGGCCACACUGGGACUGAGACACGGCCCAGACUCCUACGGGAGGCAGCAGUGGGGAAUCUUGCGCAAUGGGCGAAAGCCUGACGCAGCGACGCCGCGUGAGGGAUGACGGCC
This 387-nucleotide ribosomal RNA is filed under the name uncultured bacterium. RNAcentral's name for it is "bacterial SSU rRNA". It matches the Rfam family "Bacterial small subunit ribosomal RNA", at positions 28 to 416 of the family's 1533-position model. The record is from RNAcentral.